UACGAAGGGGGCUAGCGUUGCUCGGAAUGACUGGGCGUAAAGGGCGCGUAGGCGGCUUGCAUAGUCAGAUGUGAAAUUCCUGGGCUUAACCUGGGGGCUGCAUUUGAUACGUGUGGGCUUGAGUGCGGAAGAGGGUCGUGGAAUUCCCAGUGUAGAGGUGAAAUUCGUAGAUAUUGGGAAGAACACCAAUGGCGAAGGCAGCUCUCUGGGACGGUACUGACGCUGAGACGCGAAAGCGUGGGGAGCGAACAGG
RNAcentral lists this ribosomal RNA (253 nucleotides) under uncultured bacterium. RNAcentral describes it as "partial 16S ribosomal RNA". It matches the Rfam family "Bacterial small subunit ribosomal RNA", at positions 524 to 776 of the family's 1533-position model. The record is from RNAcentral.